GGUAGUGGUAGAGGCAUAGGAGGUCUCACCUUUGUGUAUCUGCCAUUAUAGCACGGGCAGCGCCAUUUAGGCAGUCAUGGGUAGACGGUAUACAUCUUAUGUCAAAGUGACGUCAAAAGUUGCACGUUCAGCGAAAAUGUGUGGAUUUUCGCCAAGUGUGUAGCCAUACCUCGAAAAACCUUGUUGUCACACCUCCUUCAGGUCUGGAGAAUUCUAUGUUAGGUCGAAACGGCUACAAUGGUCCACCGGCUUCCAACGGUUGCAUUUUUAUUGGAUGUUACAUUUACCCUCCCCACACAUGCCCGUAGAAGGCGUGUUAUGUUCGUCACGGUUUUCCGCCAGUGUGUUGUCCUGUUGCAAUAAAGACGAUUAACCUGUCAAAAGGUUGUGUUUGUUUCCUGUUAGAGUCGUAGGGUUCGCCACAAAAAUGCUAGAGUUUUUCAUCUGCGAUUUCCUGGCCAUCGUCACACACUGUCGCUCCUACGGUACGACUCUGCUGAGCGCCUUUGGAGCUCCGCCCAAGCCAGGCGUUUGAUUGGUUUGAAGUGUUUGCGAAAACGUCACUGAUUUACACUGGGGUUUUCCACUCCUUUGAGCCAUUGAUCUCACCAGGCUUCACCAAGCUUUCCGAUUAGGGAAGCCUGGUUCUCAUCGCGGCCAACCCUAACUCUAACCUUUUUCCUAACCUUAACCUAAUUCUCCUAACCUGCUGCAUAAGUUCUCCUAACCAGCUAGGAAAAACUCACUUCUGACCGUAGCUGUAUAACAUCUAGUCAAAACCCAUUGAGGCUAUCUCCAUUUUAAAGUGUUUGAAAAAAGUGUACAGCCAAUAUUGGUGAUGUACUGCCACCUGCAGCGCUAGAGUCCUGAACCAGAUCUUGUGUGUCAUUCAUUUAUUGUGACCACUGGAUGGCAGUGAUAAAGCUUAAAGCCAUUUACAGAUCAUAGCACCCAAUUUCAAGAUGAAGACAAUGCUCUGAUCAUCAUCUCUCCCAACCCAUAGGAAUCCCCACCCUGUUGACCUCUUUAAAAUGGUGGAAGCCCUCAAUGGAAGUGUCCAUGCUAAAACUUGGUUUAUAUCCCCGUGUUCCGGGGGCAGUCCCCGUUUUUGGUGGCCUGUCCCCGGCAAUGUCCCCGUUUUUAACUCUGCGUUAAAAACAGACUGCAAAGUUAAAUAAUAUUUUACGUGGCAAGAAAGACUGGACAGCAGAGUCUGCCGGUUGAUCUCUCAAUCGCGUUGUGCUUAUUUUGUCCAGCAGAGGGGGCUGCUCACUAUAUCAUCUUCAUUCACUCUUCUUCUACUAACUACUUGCUCGCGCUAGUUUUAGAGAAAACUUCUGUGGAAAACUCCGCCAGAAGCUUAGCAAGUGUCAAGUGAAUCCACAACAUCACCACAAACGUCUUUUCAAGCCAGAGAGUGGAGAGGAAGGAGAGGAGGAAGACUGGAUAGGAAGAAGAGUGAAGGAGAUAAGAGGAGGAAAGGUAAAGAUAUGAUUACAGAGACUGCCAAUUUAUUAUUCCAACCAAUAUUUUUGAGAUAAAAUACAAAAGUGAGGCAAGCAAUGGGAAUCUGUUAACCAAAGUAGUUUAUCUAAUAGUGUACUAUUUAUUAUUACAGAUUGGAGAAGGAGAAGGAAAGAUGAAGGGAGUAAAAAGAGUGAAGCGAGGAGAGUGUGGAAGAGUGAGGUGGAAAGGUAAAGAGAAGGAAAGGCAGGAAGAGGAGUGAAGAAAAGAGUAGGAGAAAGAUUGGAGGAGAAGAAAAAGUUAAGAGUGACACAAUGACAUGAGACAAUGUCCAUUUAUACGCUCAGGUCAAGACAAUAGAAUGGUUUACUGCACCCUUUGUAAUUCCUCUUUUUCAAUUGGCAGCGGGGGACGAACGGCAGUGGUAGAACAUCAACAGUCGAAAAAGCAUAAAGCCUCCCUGAUUGCCCGUGUUGGUAUGUCCUCUGUCACCACAUUCUGCAAGAAGGUAGAGCCUUCCCAAGAAUAAUAUGAUUUAGCUGUGCAGGAGGGAUGUCUUUGCAUACCACACUAUGCGACACAAUCAUAGUUACAGAUCUCUGGGCUGCAACAGCACAACUGACACGAAAGCUUUAUGAGCCGAAGUUUACAUGUGCUAGGACAAAAUGUGAAGCCAUAGUGAGUAACGUGUUAGCACCGUGGGCAACUACUUUGGUAACACAGGACCUAGACCAGGUUGAAUUUGUGUCCCUGUCCAUUGAUGCGUCCAAUCAUGGACAUGUAAAGCUGCUGCCAAUAGUAGUCAGAUAUAUGAUGGCAACACAUCUGUGGAAACAAACCUGCUUGGUUUUGUUGAAUUGAAAGGAGAAACAGCAGAGGAAAUUGCAGCUGAGGUCCUGGAGGUCAUUAAAAAAAUGUAACCUGGAAAACAAAGUCGUGGCAUUCUCUGCCGACAACACAAAUACCAACUUUGGAGGACUGAAUAGGCUGGGGAGGGUCAAUGUCCAUACCAAAGUUAAAAAUGCUCUGCAGUGGGAGGUGAUUAGCUUAGGUUGUCCUGCCCACAUCAUUCAUAACACGGCCAGAACAGCUUUGGAUAUGAUUCCCCUUGAUGUUGAGUACCUGCUCACAAAGAUAUUUGGACAUUUUCACCGUUGGAGUAGAAAGACUGAAGAGCUUUUUUUAGGACACAGAAAUGUUCGCUGGCUGUCCAUGCUCCCUGCUCUAGAAAGAGCGCUGAAAAUGUAUGUGCCAUUGAAAUCCUUUUUUUCUUUCUGAAGACAAAUGCCCUGUUGUCCUGCGAACAAUGUUCGAAGAUCCACUGACUGAACUUUGGCUGGCCUUUGUCAAUGGAAACCUGACCGUAUUCGGUGACACAAUCAAGAUGCUUGAAGGCCAGGACCGCUGUGCUGUGGAGUCCGCUGCAAUUCUGAGAAACAUUGAGGCAAAAUUGACUGCAAGACGUGAUGGCAACUUCAUUCCAGUUUUGGUCAGAGGACUUCUGAGAGAGCUGGAGGACAAUGGAGCCAUGUCUAAAGAGAGCUUUCUCAAAACAUCCCAAUCAUUCUUCACUACGGCUGUGAACUACUUGCACGUUUAUGGGGAAAGCACACAGAUAAUCUAAAAUAUUUACAUGGUCUCCUUUUUAAAAAGGCAACCUCAGCGUGAAGAGAUCCAGAAGGCAGCAGGCACACUGCAGGAAAAAUGCCCCAUUGUGGCCAUCAAUGAGGAUGCAUUGUUUGACGAGGUUACUGGAUUGCAAGAGUUCCUAAAGGGUUACCCACUUCAAAGAGAACGACAUCUCACACACUAACCUGGCUAGAUUAGCCUCUGUUGUCAUGUGCUUACCUGGAAGUAAAGCACCAGUCGAGAGAGUGUUCUCCUAAAUGAAUGAUCUAUGGACAGCAGCAAGAAAUAGGUUCACUGUUCCUACCAUCAAGGCCAUGCUUAUUGUGAAGACAAACUUCAACCUCCUCUGCCAGGAGUUCAUGGAGAAGCUGGCCGAAGACAUAGCAAUCCUGAAGGAGAUACAUUCUUCUAAGAAAUAUACAGAUUAGGCCACCAGGACCACUGAAUGGCUGUUCAGAUCAGUUCUACCCAGGCCACCAGGACCACUGAAUGGCUGUUCAGAUUGGACAGUUCUGUCUUGUCUGUAGUGUUUCUGUAAUGUAGUUGUUUUUUUCUAUCACAGUGUACCUGUUAGACUAAAUACAUGAAACCGGAAUUGUCCCUCUUUUUAAAAAUGUCAUGGAUAAUAACAUUGGAUAUUUGAAUGAUAUAUUGACCGCCGAACUGGAAAUGUCCCCGAUUUUAAUUUCAGAAAUCUGGUCACCUUAUGGUAGAGGUGACAUCUUAUGGGGAUGUACAGUAGGCCUAUACAGAAGACGUUGUAGAAUUAUAACCAAGCAAACGAAUAACCUGGAAUCCUCUAUAAAUCUACUCUAAAUAUAGUUCAUAAUCUGAUACAUUUCCUACCCUUUCAGUGAGGCAGCAGAUCUUUCAAUUGUGAACAGUUGUCAUAGCAACAGCAGGGGAUGACUCAAAUGCCAAUUCUAAAUCCAGGCCUUCUGUGUGUGUCUUGUGUCUGGUUGUACUGUGUAAAAUAUGAGUAUUACGAAUAUUGUGUGUUGUCAGAGUAUGUGUACUGUGUUCCUACGUAUGAUCAUGUUUGUGAGGCUGUGUUCACGUGAUCGUCUCUCUUUCUCUCUCUCUCUCUCUCUGUC
This is a non-coding RNA of Oncorhynchus mykiss (rainbow trout), 4187 nucleotides long. Lineage: Eukaryota; Metazoa; Chordata; Actinopteri; Salmoniformes; Salmonidae. The record is from RefSeq and is a predicted model, not a curated record.